Molecule: ribosomal RNA, 857 nt
Filed under: uncultured Bacillota bacterium
Lineage: Bacteria; Bacillati; Bacillota
Description: bacterial SSU rRNA
Rfam family: Bacterial small subunit ribosomal RNA
Source: RNAcentral
CAAGUCGAACGAGAAAGUGGGGCAACCCAUGAGUACAGUGGCGUACGGGUGAGUAACACGUGGAUGAUCUACCUUCUGGUGAGGAAUAACCCUGGGAAACCGGGGCUAAUACCGCAUAAGCUCGAGAGAGGAAAGUCGCAAGACGCCGGAAGAGGAGUCCGCGGCCGAUUAGCUAGUUGGCAGGGUAAAAGCCUACCAAGGCAAAGAUCGGUAGCCGGCCUGAGAGGGCACACGGCCACACUGGCACUGAAACACGGGCCAAACUCCUACGGGAGGCAGCAGUGGGGAAUCUUGCACAAUGGGGGAAACCCUGAUGCAGCGACGCCGCGUGAGCGAUGAAGCCCUUCGGGGUGUAAAGCUCUUUCGGCAGGGACGAUAAUGACGGUACCUGCAGAAGCAGCUGCGGCUAACUACGUGCCAGCAGCCGCGGUAAUACGUAGGCAGCAAGCGUUGUUCGGAGUUACUGGGCGUAAAGGGUGUGUAGGCGGUUGCUUAAGUUUGGUGUGAAAUCUCCCGGCUCAACCGGGAGGGUGCGCCGAAUACUGAGUGACUCGAGUGCGGGAGAGGAGAGUGGAAUUCCUGGUGUAGCGGUGAAAUGCGUAGAUAUCAGGAGGAACACCGGUGGUGUAGACGGCUCUCUGGACCGUAACUGACGCUGAGACACGAAAGCGUGGGUAGCAAACAGGAUUAGAUACCCUGGUAGUCCACGCCCUAAACGAUGCAUAUUUGGUGUGGGCAGUUCAGUCUGUCCGUGCCGGAGCUAACGCGUUAAAUAUGCCGCCUGGGGAGUACAGUCGCAAGGCUGAAACUCAAAGGAAUUGACGGGGGCCCGCACAAGCGGUGGAGCAUGUGGUUCA